This 207-nucleotide ribosomal RNA is filed under the name uncultured bacterium. RNAcentral describes it as "partial 16S ribosomal RNA". It matches the Rfam family "Bacterial small subunit ribosomal RNA", at positions 568 to 774 of the family's 1533-position model. The record is from RNAcentral.
CAUGUAGGUGGAUCAAUAAGUCUGCUGUGAAAGUCGAAGGCUCAACCUUCGAAAGCCGGUGGAUACUGUUGAUCUAGAGUACGGAAGAGGCGAGUGGAAUUCCUGGUAUAGCGGUGGAAUGCGCAGAUAUCAGGAGGAACACCAAUAGCGAAGGCAGCUCGCUGGGACGUUACUGACACUGAGAUGCGAAAGCGUGGGGAGCAAACA